RNAcentral lists this ribosomal RNA (546 nucleotides) under Pichia sp. ATNov07DSX-Y7. RNAcentral describes it as "LSU rRNA". It matches the Rfam family "Eukaryotic large subunit ribosomal RNA", at positions 52 to 602 of the family's 3401-position model. The record is from RNAcentral. Lineage: Eukaryota; Fungi; Ascomycota; Pichiomycetes; Pichiales; Pichiaceae.
GGAGGAAAAGAAACCAACAGGGAUUGCCUUAGUAGCGGCGAGUGAAGCGGCAAGAGCUCAAAUUUGAAAUCUGGUACCUUCGGUGCCCGAGUUGUAAUUUGAAGAAAGCUGUCUUGGAGUUGGCCUUUGUCUAUGUUCCUUGGAACAGGACGUCACAGAGGGUGAGAAUCCCGUGCGAUGAGGUGUCCAAUUCUUUAUAAGACGUUUUCGAAGAGUCGAGUUGUUUGGGAAUGCAGCUCAAAGUGGGUGGUAAAUUCCAUCUAAAGCUAAAUAUUGGCGAGAGACCGAUAGCGAACAAGUACUGUGAAGGAAAGAUGAAAAGAACUUUGAAAAGAGAGUGAAAAAGUACGUGAAAUUGUUGAAAGGGAAGGGUAUUCAAUCAGACUUGGUAUUUAGUUAUCAUUACUCCUUGUGGGUGGUGCUCUAGCUUUUUACUGGGCCAGCAUCAGUUUUGGUGGCAAGAUAAUGGCAGUUGAAUGUAGCUCCUAGAGUGUUAUAGCUUCUGCUGAUAUUGCCUACUGAGACUGAGGUCUGCGGCUUGCCUAG